Molecule: long non-coding RNA, 527 nt
Organism: Brassica napus (rape)
Lineage: Eukaryota; Viridiplantae; Streptophyta; Magnoliopsida; Brassicales; Brassicaceae
Exons: 3
Source: RefSeq, a predicted model, not a curated record
CUGUCUCACGAUUUUGUCUGAUUAACCAGUGAUCAGUUACAGAAGAGGGGAAAGCAGUGACAUGGAAAGUAACGGUAGAAAAAAUGAUAAGUUCUACUUCGCAGAGAUCAGUGAGCGUUCUUCCGAGUAGGCUCAAACCGUGUUGGAGAAAAUCUACAGCAAGCACAAAUGUCCUCCCAUAAACGACGAGUCGAGGCAGAGACUUCCUUCGAUCCCUGCGGAGUUAGCUUUCGAUUUGCUCAAGAAAGCUUUUAAUUCCGGGUGAUGUCCAACCUCGACCGCUUCGUCCUCUCUAAGCUUACGAUUACUAUUUCAAGCUCUCCGGCAAAGCCUCAAGAAGAGAUAUCUGUUGUUUCUUUGAGAAUACAAAGCUAUGGUGAAUCUCUGCACAUUCUUCCUCAGCUCUUAGCUUUGAGUGAACUUGAGUUUAACAAGGCAUUCCUGGGUUAAAAUAACUGCCGAAGAGAUCCAAGGAUGGAAGGAUUUGUCUAUAGUUGCAUUUGAAGUUGCGGUUUGGGAACACUUGG